GCGAUGAAGAUUUAAAGGAGUAUUUAACACAAUUGGCCAGUAUAUUAUUUAAUUUGGACAGUGAAUGUUCUAAUAACAAUCAUGUAACCAAUUUACAGAACUGACGAGAUGGCUCUCUCACUUACGGUAGAAGAAACAAACUUCCUUCGCUUGGUUGCGUUGACCAUUGGUGUUGCCCCAAGAGCUGUUCGUUGCUAUUUUGACGGAGUCUUACAUCCAAACAAUCUUCAAACUACACUACUGAAUCAACAAAAGACAAUAGAUGAUUUAAGAUAUCGCAAAAAAGUUCUAACAUCAGUUCAGUACAACACAUUAUUUCAUUCGGGAUCUGCAGUUACAUCUAAGAACUUCGACAUUACAUUAAUGAUAUGCCUUCUGAGGAAUAUAAGUGGAAUAGCUC
Long non-coding RNA from Mytilus trossulus (common blue mussel), 400 nucleotides. RefSeq lists it as uncharacterized. The record is from RefSeq and is a predicted model, not a curated record. NCBI's taxonomy places the organism in Eukaryota, Metazoa, Mollusca, Bivalvia, Mytilida, Mytilidae. The transcript has 3 exons.